Long non-coding RNA from Notothenia coriiceps (black rockcod), 111 nucleotides. RefSeq lists it as uncharacterized. The transcript has 3 exons. The record is from RefSeq and is a predicted model, not a curated record. Lineage: Eukaryota; Metazoa; Chordata; Actinopteri; Perciformes; Nototheniidae.
GUUGUUUACUGUCAUAUAGACCGUUCGGCCAAACGAGGACGACCGAAUAUGACAGUAAACAACUGCGGAAACUAUAAUGGGUCCCAAGGUGGAUAGAACGGCAUACGCAAC